UACGGAGGGAGCUAGCGUUGUUCGGAAUUACUGGGCGUAAAGCGCACGUAGGCGGCUUUGUAAGUUAGAGGUGAAAGCCUGGUGCUCAACACCAGAACUGCCUUUAAGACUGCAUCGCUUGAAUCAUGGAGAGGCGGGUGGAAUUCCGAGUGUAGAGGUGAAAUUCGUAGAUAUUCGGAAGAACACCAGUGGCGAAGGCGGCCCGCUGGACAUGUAUUGACGCUGAGGUGCGAAAGCGUGGGGAGCAAACAGG
Molecule: ribosomal RNA, 253 nt
Filed under: uncultured bacterium
Lineage: Bacteria
Also listed under: 1 other name
Description: partial 16S ribosomal RNA
Rfam family: Bacterial small subunit ribosomal RNA
Source: RNAcentral